AUGCCGCAUACACGUUAAGACCAAAGAGUAAAUUAAAACGUCGACGUGUGAAAGAGACCAAAACAUCUCUAUGGUAAGCAUUGUGACGCGAUGAUGUACGAGAGAUGGUCAGACAGACGGACAUGGCGAAAUUAUAAGGGUUAAUAAUUCUAACACUACAAAAAAGUAAUGAAAAUAAUUAUAUUCCGAAUUUAAUGCCACCCAUAAAAAAAAUCAGAUUUGUAAUUCCCACUCUUUGGAUGCAUGUGGGGUCCAUCAGGUUGCCGUUAAUUAAUUUUCAAUAUGACAGCGGAACUGUCACGUUUCCUGUCAAUAUAAAUAUAAACCAUGUUAUAUUUGUAAAAAUAUGGUGUUUCGGACCAAGACUUAUUACCGUAUUUUUAUAGCUUCCAACUUUAACGCUGGCAAAUGUGUAUAAUAUACAUAUUUUAGUAUAAACAAGUACGGCCGGGAGCUAAUACAAGUCUCGAGAAAUAUUGGGAGCGUUGAAUGCGAAGGCUUACAUAACAGCAAAGCCCAAAACUACAGAGCAACGGGAAAAAUAAAUGAAACAACGUCAUCACGAAAUCGGAUGGCAGUCCGAAUUUAGCACGCUGCGUAGAUCACCUCCCGCAAAAUACAGCAAAAAAUCUAGAAGUAAUCAUGUAUUUAACAUCUAUGUGACGGUUAAUAUUUCAAUAAUACCAAUCCAAUACCAAUUUCCCAAAUAAUUAAAAAGUUUAUGUACUUC
Cydia pomonella (codling moth) is the source of this 730-nucleotide long non-coding RNA. RefSeq lists it as uncharacterized. The record is from RefSeq and is a predicted model, not a curated record. The transcript is spliced from 3 exons. Lineage: Eukaryota; Metazoa; Arthropoda; Insecta; Lepidoptera; Tortricidae.